GUGUGCGGCCGCCUAAUAUCUCCCCGCCCUCCCAUCCCCCGGUAAUGAAGUCCGGCCAGAGGCAGAGGGGAGAUAGGAGCCGCCACGGCGCCACCGCAAUACCGUUUCCACUCGGCUGCACCCCCCACCCGGACGGCGCACGGACUCCUCGUCUGCCUGGUGUGAGGUAGCAAGAGCAGAGGAGAGCCGCUUUUGAAUAGGAGGGAGAGAUCGCGGCCAGGACAAGGAGCUACAUAUGAGGCAUCUUCCGGAUCAUGUGAUCUCCUACAUGAAUAGUGAUUACCGACUGAAGAUGUUGUCUGCCCAGGAAGGAUACAUUUCUUCAGAGGUUCCCCGUUAUGAGAAGCCACGAUAUAGCAAAACUUCUACUGAAUCCGGACAUCAGUGUGCAAAGGCAUAGGUACAUGUAUGUAUGCAACGUUCGUUCAAAUCAGACAUCUUAGGCUAUAGCACUGUCCCAGCAUACUCUAUAGGUUGAAUGUCGUCCCACACCCAACCAGUGGUCCCUUGACCGCCAAGUGCAUAUAGAGGAUGUCUCGUCCUCCUCCCUGUCUUC
Long non-coding RNA from Pseudophryne corroboree (corroboree frog), 556 nucleotides. RefSeq lists it as uncharacterized. NCBI's taxonomy places the organism in Eukaryota, Metazoa, Chordata, Amphibia, Anura, Myobatrachidae. The transcript is spliced from 3 exons. The record is from RefSeq and is a predicted model, not a curated record.